RNAcentral lists this transfer RNA (84 nucleotides) under Echinostoma caproni. It matches the Rfam family "tRNA". From Rfam's summary of the family: Transfer RNA (tRNA) molecules are approximately 80 nucleotides in length. Their secondary structure includes four short double-helical elements and three loops (D, anti-codon, and T loops). Further hydrogen bonds mediate the characteristic L-shaped molecular structure. tRNAs have two regions of fundamental functional importance: the anti-codon, which is responsible for specific mRNA codon recognition, and the 3' end, to which the tRNAs corresponding amino acid is attached (by aminoacyl-tRNA synthetases). tRNAs cope with the degeneracy of the genetic code in two manners: having more than one tRNA (with a specific anti-codon) for a particular amino acid; and 'wobble' base-pairing, i.e. permitting non-standard base-pairing at the 3rd anti-codon position. The record is from Rfam by way of RNAcentral. Lineage: Eukaryota; Metazoa; Platyhelminthes; Trematoda; Plagiorchiida; Echinostomatidae.
GGCUUCGUAGCUCAGCUGGUAGAGCGUGUGCUGCAAAAAAGUGUAGGCGGCGCCCAUGCGUGGGUUUAAAUCCCACUCAGGCUA